Molecule: small nucleolar RNA, 142 nt
Organism: Mastomys coucha (southern multimammate mouse)
Lineage: Eukaryota; Metazoa; Chordata; Mammalia; Rodentia; Muridae
Product: small nucleolar RNA SNORA48
Exons: 1
Source: RefSeq, a predicted model, not a curated record
UGCUCCCUGGCAAUGGACAAACAGACACCUUGUUGGUGUUUUUCUUAGAUCAGUCAGGGCCAGAGCAAUUGGCAGUCCUUUGUUCAUCCUAGCUUGAUGCUUGUCUUAGUGAUGAAAAGUGUUUUAUGCCUAGGAUUCAUAA